ACGCAGCUUUUGGGCCCACCAGGCAUGUACUCCAGCUCUGCCCAAUUGUAUUUGUCACCAUUGUGAUGCAGAUUAAGGAUUUAUUUAAUUUGUUUGUUGUUACCAGAGAACAUGUUGCCCUGCUCUCAAAAAAAAACAAAUGUUCAGUUCCAGUAUUUUGUUUGCCGAAUCUAUUUUCAAACCCUGUUUAUGCUUGUAAUUAAAUCUGCAUGUCAAAUGGAGGAACAUUGUUUUUUUGCAUUUUGUCUACCUGUUACAACCUACCCCAGUAGGUGUUAAGGUACGGCCACACCAAACGCGUUACCCGCGUACGACGCGUAUAAAAUCGGCAAUUUUUCCAUAGGGAACCAUUGGUUUACGCGCGUAUGAGCUGCGUAGAUGCGUUACAUGCGCUAAAACAACAUUUUAGCCGCGUAUGAGCUGCGUGUUUAUACGCACCUAACGUACAUACGCGCAGAGUUAAAAAAAUGGAACUUUUUACGCUCAUACGCAUGACGAUUAGCCGCGUUGCCCAAUCAGCGUUGAGCUUGACCCGACGUCACUGGCAGAGAGACGGAAAGGACAGAACAGAAAUGGAGGACCAAAAUCUCAUAGUCGCUGUGUGCAGCCGUCCUGUCCUGUACGACACCACGAUGGUGUCGUACAGGGACAGGAACAAAAAAGAGAGGGCAUGGGUCGACGUGGCCGAGGAUACUGGCGUUCCUGGGACGAAGAGGAAGAGAGCCAGGGUACCAGAGGGGAACACAAAUAUACAGACAGCCAUCCUCCAGGCCCUGCAGAGGCAAAAUGCGGUGCCUUCCCCUAUCCCGCUCUCUGGGAAUGAGCACUUUGUCAUGGGCCUAGUUCCUUCCCUGGAGAGAUUGCCACCUGACGUACUGGAGUACGUUAAAUUCCAAAUUCGUAAGGUCAUAUUUGACAAUUCUAAUUUCACCCUUAAUUUGGAACCUGUUUAAGCUUAUUAGCUAGUGGUGGUGACAAUCUCUCCAGGGAAAGAACUAGGCUGAUGUCACUGUUAACUGUUCAUUUGUUAUUGUUCUGUUAUGUUUAUAUUGUUCUUAUGUUAUUUUUAUUAUUUAUAUUUUUAUAAUUACUUUUGAAAUAAAAUAUUUCUCACAA
This is a long non-coding RNA of Gadus morhua (Atlantic cod), 1116 nucleotides long. NCBI's taxonomy places the organism in Eukaryota, Metazoa, Chordata, Actinopteri, Gadiformes, Gadidae. The record is from Ensembl.